This is a long non-coding RNA of Rhineura floridana, 851 nucleotides long. RefSeq lists it as uncharacterized. The transcript has 3 exons. Lineage: Eukaryota; Metazoa; Chordata; Lepidosauria; Squamata; Rhineuridae. The record is from RefSeq and is a predicted model, not a curated record.
UUGGUGUUCAGCUGCUCCUUUUCAUCUGCCGUAUCCCUUUUAUUGCGAUGUCAUAUGAUGGUGAAGAUAGCCUCUUUUGUUUCAAACUGAAAGUUAUGCUCUAUUUCUAUUUUGGGCACAUUAACAGUUGAAUCUAAAACUGCACUUUGAUGUAAAAUCAGACGGAUUACAAUACGUUGAUACUUCAGCAAUGACUCUAGCUGUUGGAAAAAACAAACUUGGCCUGCACAAGAUGCAUGUUUCAGCCUGCUAUGCUUCAACUACUCCACUUAAGGAAAGACUACCUUCCAGUAAUUCCAACAUGGCCAUCUAUUCAGUGCGAAUAUACACCAUCCGACCCGGCCAUUUCGAGGGCCCUCCCAUCGUCUUCGGACCCAUGACCGGGAGACCACCCUUCCUGCAAGAAGUCUACAUCAUCCCAGCCGGACCCACCCUUCCUGAUAGCUAACUAUUCAAUCCAUGCUCAGAGCUUGGAAGUAACUAGUUACAAGUAAUGAAUUACUUGUAAUUUAUUACUUUUUUGAGUAACAAGUGCGUAACUUCAUUACAUUUUGCUGGUAAUAGAAUGAGUAGUAACUUCAUUACUUUUGAGGAGUAAUGGUAAUGUUUCCAGCAUUACUUUUGCGCAUUACUUGGGGGGGGAGCAGGGGAAGUCUUCUGCUCCUCUGAUUUGUGAAUAAAAACCAUGUGCUUCAAAUUGGGCUUCUGUGCAGCAUUGUUCUUCCUUCAUGCUCUGUGGGUGCUUAGGAGGCGAUGAGGGAAGAGGUGGAGAGCGAGACUGGGUGGAGAAAACAAUUGUUUAAAAAUGGACAGGAGUGGCAGGAGAAAAGAGCUGGAGGCAAUAUAUAUAU